UACGUAGGUGGCAAGCGUUAUCCGGAAUUAUUGGGCGUAAAGAGCGCGCAGGUGGUUAAUUAAGUCUGAUGUGAAAGCCCACGGCUUAACCGUGGAGGGUCAUUGGAAACCGGUUGACUUGAGUGCAGAAGAGGGAAGUGGAAUUCCAUGUGUAGCGGUGAAAUGCGUAGAGAUAUGGGGGAACACCAGUGGCGAAGGCGGCUUCCUGGUCUGCAACUGACACUGAGGCGCGAAAGCGUGGGGAGCAAACAGG
RNAcentral lists this ribosomal RNA (253 nucleotides) under uncultured bacterium. RNAcentral describes it as "partial 16S ribosomal RNA". It matches the Rfam family "Bacterial small subunit ribosomal RNA", at positions 524 to 776 of the family's 1533-position model. The record is from RNAcentral.